This 380-nucleotide ribosomal RNA is filed under the name uncultured cyanobacterium. Its description in RNAcentral is "bacterial SSU rRNA". It matches the Rfam family "Bacterial small subunit ribosomal RNA", at positions 376 to 770 of the family's 1533-position model. Lineage: Bacteria; Bacillati; Cyanobacteriota. The record is from RNAcentral.
CGAAAGCCUGACGGAGCAACGCCGCGUGAGGGAGGAAGGCUCUUGGGUUGUAAACCUCUUUUGUUAGGGAAGAAGAAAGUGACGGUACCUAACGAAUAAGCAUCGGCUAACUCCGUGCCAGCAACCGCGGUAAUACGGAGGAUGCAAGCGUUAUCCGGAAUCAUUGGGCGUAAAGCGUCCGCAGGUGGCUGUUCAAGUCUGCUGUCAAAGACAGAAGCUUAACUUCUGAAAGGCAGUGGAAACUGGAGAGCUAGAGUACGGUAGGGGUUGAGGGAAUUCCCAGUGUAGCGGUGAAAUGCGUAGAUAUUGGGAAGAACACCAGUGGCGAAGGCGCUCAACUGGGCCGUAACUGACACUCAGGGACGAAAGCUAGGGGAGCG